UACUAUUUGGCGUAGAAAUGGGAUUUUUUUUUUAAUCUUUUAAGCAAGUAAAGUGAAAUGAAUCAACACUCUCCCCCUCCCCUCCACAAGCCAGGAUUGCUCCCCUCCUGAUUACAGGAAGAGACCUGAAGCAGAAAAAGAAUGCAGUGUCAAUUUUAUCCCUGGAGUUGCAUCCAGCAAUCUACCUUCCAGGUUCACUGCUCCUUGAAGAGAUUUUGCUAAGGGAUUAAAAAGUUUUAGCCUACAGAAAUUUUUCAUAGUGCACAGCAAAAUGCUUGUUUGUGGGUACAAAGAAAAUGCAAGAGGCCCACCCUCUGAGGUGUGUUGGUGAUGUCCUGGCUCAUGAAGCUGAAGUCACAAUCCAACCGCAAUUUGAGUCCCCAACAUGGCCAGUUUGAAAACACACCAGGAAGGUAUGUGUGUGCCCAAUAUCCCAGUGGGCUAGAGGACUAGAAAAGGGGUAGGA
Tupaia belangeri chinensis (Chinese tree shrew) is the source of this 466-nucleotide long non-coding RNA. RefSeq lists it as uncharacterized. The record is from RefSeq and is a predicted model, not a curated record. The transcript is spliced from 3 exons. NCBI's taxonomy places the organism in Eukaryota, Metazoa, Chordata, Mammalia, Scandentia, Tupaiidae.